Molecule: ribosomal RNA, 253 nt
Filed under: uncultured bacterium
Lineage: Bacteria
Description: partial 16S ribosomal RNA
Rfam family: Bacterial small subunit ribosomal RNA
Source: RNAcentral
UACGAAGGGGGCUAGCGUUGCUCGGAAUCACUGGGCGUAAAGGGUGCGUAGGCGGAUCGUUAAGUCGGGGGUGAAAUCCUGGAGCUCAACUCCAGAACUGCCUUCGAUACUGGCGAUCUAGAGUCCGGAAGAGGUGAGUGGAACUCCUAGUGUAGAGGUGGAAUUCGUAGAUAUUAGGAAGAACACCAGUGGCGAAGGCGGCUCACUGGUCCGGUACUGACGCUGAGGUGCGAAAGCGUGGGGAGCAAACAGG